AUUGAGCUAUAAACUAAUUCCAACACUACCAAAGAACCCUUAAGUAAUAUUGAGUAAUUCUAUACAAUUUAUAGAAGAUUUUAUGUUAAAACUAGUAACAAGAAGAAGAACUUCUCACACAAUGCAAGUGUAAAUCAGACAGGACACCCCCACUGAUAAUUAACACCCAUGAACACAAAAUAGUAACCACACAAGAAAACCCUAAUACACCAUGUGUUAACCUUACACCAGAGCAUUUCAAGAAAGAUUAAAAGAAAAAGAAGGAACUCGGCAAAUAUUAACCUCGCCUGUUUACCAAAAACAUCGCCUCUUGAAUUGAUAUAAGAGGUCCAGCCUGCCCAGUGACCAUGUUCAACGGCCGCGGUAUCCUAACCGUGCGAAGGUAGCGUAAUCACUUGUUCUUUAAAUAAGGACUAGUAUGAACGGCACCACGAAGGUUACACUGUCUCCUAUUUCUAAUCAGUGAAACUAAUCCCCCCGUGAAGAAGCGGGGAUAAAAAUAUAAGACGAGAAGACCCUAUGGAGCUUUAAACUAUAAGGCAUUUGCCCACAUAUUAACCAAAUUUCAGAAAAUCACUACUACCCAGGCAAUAUGACCCUUAGUUUUAGGUUGGGGUGACCGCGGAGCAAAAAAUAACCUCCACAUUGAAAGGAGCCACUCCUUAGCCGAGAGCUACACCUCUACGCACCAACAAAAAGACAUUAAUUGACCCAAUAUUUUGAUCAACGAACCAAGUUACCCUAGGGAUAACAGCGCAAUCCACUUCAAGAGCUCCUAUCGACAAGUGGGUUUACGACCUCGAUGUUGGAUCAGGGUAUCCCGGUGGUGCAGCCGCUACCAAAGGUUCGUUUGUUCAACGAUUAAAACCCU
This 871-nucleotide ribosomal RNA is filed under the name Hyalinobatrachium carlesvilai. RNAcentral's name for it is "partial 16S ribosomal RNA". It matches the Rfam family "Bacterial large subunit ribosomal RNA", at positions 1492 to 2597 of the family's 2925-position model. The record is from RNAcentral. Lineage: Eukaryota; Metazoa; Chordata; Amphibia; Anura; Centrolenidae.